RNAcentral lists this long non-coding RNA (367 nucleotides) under Bemisia tabaci. RNAcentral's name for it is "lncRNA ENSSWEETPG004696". Lineage: Eukaryota; Metazoa; Arthropoda; Insecta; Hemiptera; Aleyrodidae. The record is from RNAcentral.
AUGUGUCUAAAAAUAGGGCUAAUCUUCGUGCAUGAAAAUAAUUAUAAAUACAAGUUUAAGUGUGUGAGGUGUUUGUGUGUUCGAGAAUUUUUGCAGAAAGGAUUAUCGUGCACUGGAAUCAUGAAGGCGGGAUUAUACUAUUAUAUUUUGCUGACGGUAGCUGCUAGUAUUGUAAGGACACGAUCAGACGAACCAGAAGAAAAGCGUAGUAGUAAAAGUGAACAUUUAGAGGACUUUCCACUGGAUGAAAAUGAUCCCUCCAGUGAUUUUUGAGGUACGAAUCGAGACAUGAAAUUAAUUCUCAUUUUUUGAGAACACUUAUUUGGAAUGAAUAUCCUUAUCAAUGUUUUUCGUGCGAGAAGUGAUA